RNAcentral lists this long non-coding RNA (320 nucleotides) under Dromaius novaehollandiae (emu). RNAcentral's name for it is "lncRNA (ENSDNVG00000003691.1)". Lineage: Eukaryota; Metazoa; Chordata; Aves; Casuariiformes; Dromaiidae. The record is from RNAcentral.
UUUAUUCCAAAGCAUUCUCACUUACAGUGAUCUUCAUCUCUGUAGGAUCUGYCCAGCCUAAAAAAGUUUUCUUGGUGUAUUUAUAUUGAAUGUAAACUGGCGGAAGUAUGAAUACAGCUUCAGCAGUGCUUGAAAUGAAAACAAUUUGUGGAGAAGGAAGAGAUUUUCUUUGCUGUUACACAUUCUUGAAUUGCACUUCAGUGAUCAGCAACAGAUACAGUGAACAUGAUGUCGAAGUGCUCAGGAAUUGAUAAGACUUUGUGCACCAACACACAACUUCCAGCACCAGCCUGCYGGGUCAAAAUGGGGAUUAGCAAAGY